RNAcentral lists this ribosomal RNA (29 nucleotides) under Scutellonema cavenessi. RNAcentral describes it as "partial 18S ribosomal RNA". Lineage: Eukaryota; Metazoa; Nematoda; Chromadorea; Rhabditida; Hoplolaimidae. The record is from RNAcentral.
UGCUGGAUCAUUACCCAUGUGAUCAUCAC